GUAGGGGGAUGGGGGUAGGUUGACCUCAGGUCUCCCCACUGGAAGACAGAGGUAGGGGGAGCGGGGGUAUGUUGACCUCAGGUCUCCCCACUGGAAGCCAGAGGUAGGGGGAUGGGGGUAGGUUGACCUCAGGUCUCCCCACUGGAAGACAGAGGUAGGGGGAGCAGGGGGUAUGUUGACCUCAGGUCUCCCCACUGGAAGCCAGAGGUAGGGGGAGCGGGGGUAGGUUGACCUCAGGUCUCCCCACUGGAAGCCAGAGGUAGGGGGAUGGGGGUAGGUUGACCUCAGGUCUCCCCACUAGAAGCCAGAGGUAGGGCUAGCGGGGGUAUGUUGACCUCAGGUCUCCCCACUGGAAGCCAGAGGUAGGGGGAGCGGGGGUAUGUUGACCUCAGGUCUCCCCACUAGAAGCCAGAGGUAGGGGGAGCGGGGGUAGGUUGACCUCAGGUCUCCCCACUGGAAGCCAGAGGUAGGGGGAGCGGGUAUAGGUUGACCUCAGGUCUCCCCACUGGAAGCCAGAGGUAGGGGGAGCGGGGAUAGGUUGACCUCAGGUCUCCCCACUAGAAGACAGAGGUAGGGGGAGCGGGGGUAGGUUGACCUCAGGUCUCCCCACUAGAAGCCAGAGGUAGGGGGAGUGGGGGUAGGUUGACCUCAGGUCUCCCCACUAGAAGCCAGAGGUAGGGGGAGUGGGGGUAGGUUGACCUCAGGUCUCCCCACUAGAAGACAGAGGUAGGGGAAGCGGGGGUAGGUUGACCUCAGGUCUCCUCACUAGAAGCCAGAGGUAGGGGGAGUGGGGGUAUGUUGACCUCAGGUCUCCCCACUGGAAGCCAGAGGUAGGGGGAGCGGGGGUAGGUUGACCUCAGGUCUCCCCACUAGAAGCCAGAGGUAGGGGGAGCGGGGGUAUGUUGACCUCAGGUCUCCCCACUAGAAGCCAGAGGUAGGGGGAGCGGGUUUAUGUUGACCUCAGGUCUCCCCACUGGAAGCCAGAGGUAGGGGGAGCAGGGGUAUGUUGACCUCAGGUCUCCCCACUGGAAGACAGAGGUAGGGGGAGCGGGGGUAUGUUGACCUCAGGUCUCCCCACUAGAAGCCAGAGGUAGGGGGAGCGGGGGUAUGUUGACCUCAGGUCUCCCCACUGGAAGACAGAGGUAGGGGGAGCGGGGGUAUGUUGACCUCAGGUCUCCCCACUGGAAGACAGAGGUAGGGGGAGCGAGGGUAUGUUGACCUCAGGUCUCCCCACUGGAAGACAGAGGUAGGGGGAGCGGGGGUAUAUUGACCUCAGGUCUCCCCACUAGAAGCCAGAGGUAGGGGGAGCGGGGGUAUGUUGACCUCAGGUCUCCCCACUAGAAGACAGAGGUAGGGGGAGCGGGGGUAUGUUGACCUCAGGUCUCCCCACUGGAAGACAGAGGUAGGGGGAGCAGGGUUAUGUUGACCUCAGGUCUCCCCACUGGAAGACAGAGGUAGGGGGAGCGGGGGUAUGUUGACCUCAGGUCUCCCCACUGGAAGACAGAGGUAGGGGGAGCAGGGGUAUGUUGACCUCAGGUCUCCCCACUGGAAGACAGAGGUAGGGGGAGCGGGGGUAGGUUGACCUCAGGUCUCCCCACUGGAAGACAGAGGUAGGGGGAGCGGGGUAUCUAUCAAAUAGAGCACCUCUAACUUUGUACAGUACUAAUGUAAUUAGUAAUGCAAUUAGUUGUGCAAUUUAGUUGUGUGUGUUUCUUGUUUGAAGUUCAAUAGUGUAAUAAUCAGGUUGCUAUUCUAUUUGUG
RNAcentral lists this long non-coding RNA (1761 nucleotides) under Salmo salar (Atlantic salmon). RNAcentral describes it as "lncRNA (ENSSSAG00000113157.1)". Lineage: Eukaryota; Metazoa; Chordata; Actinopteri; Salmoniformes; Salmonidae. The record is from RNAcentral.